UUAUUUGAGAGUUUGAUCCUGGCUCAGGAUGAACGCUGGCGGCGUGCCUAACACAUGCAAGUUGAGCGAUUUACUUCGGUAAAGAGCGGCGGACGGGUGAGUAACGCGUGGGUAACCUACCCUGUACACACGGAUAACAUACCGAAAGGUAUGCUAAUACGGGAUAAUAUAUUUGAGAGGCAUCUCUUAAAUAUCAAAGGUGAGCCAGUACAGGAUGGACCCGCGUCUGAUUAGUUAGUUGGUAAGGUAACGGCUUACCAAGGCGACGAUCAGUAGCCGACCUGAGAGGGUGAUCGGCCACAUUGGAACUGAGACACGGUCCAAACUCCUACGGGAGGCAGCAGUGGGGAAUAUUGC
RNAcentral lists this ribosomal RNA (357 nucleotides) under Clostridioides difficile. RNAcentral's name for it is "bacterial SSU rRNA". It matches the Rfam family "Bacterial small subunit ribosomal RNA", at positions 1 to 367 of the family's 1533-position model. The record is from RNAcentral. Lineage: Bacteria; Bacillati; Bacillota; Clostridia; Peptostreptococcales; Peptostreptococcaceae.